UGUGUGUGUGUGUGUGUGUGUGUGAGGAGUAGUGGCUUUACUAGGUGGCAAGCACAAAACAAUUAUUAACCUCUAAUUUUGGUUCUUAGAAUUAGCAUUAGGCAUUAGUCAAAAUAAAUAGAGAUGGUAGUGUGUGUGUGUGUGUGUGUGUGUGUGUGUGUGUGUGUGUGUGUGUGUGUGUGUGUGUGUGUGUGUGUGUGUGUUAGGUAAGGGGGAAGGUAUUCAAUAUCUAUAUACUUAUAUACGUAGUUAGACACUGUUUUGGAGGUGUCUAUGGGAUUUAGGGUACUACCUGGGCUUCUAAAUCACACAAUAAACAGUUGAACAUUAUUUUGCUACCACGUAUGGCCACUAAAAACAGUGUGCAGGCCUAUUUAUAAGGAACCUCUCCAAAUAGCCACCUCACAGUGUAUAUACUCACCUCCUAAAGUGGCUUGCUGGAGUCAGAGAACAUAAGAUGCUUGAGUAUAAAGGUCUGUACUGCUGCCAGCACACCACAAGGGCCUCCAUAAACUGUACGCAUAAUGGAAGUAAGUAACGGCUUCUACCACAGAGUUUAGGACCAUUCUUAUCCAUUAAAGUGUUUUUGAACAUAUCCUGGUCAAAUAAGGUACAUGUUGCAGCUGAGUUGGGCUCUGUAUGGAACUAUCACUUGUGCUGGCAACUACAUUCACAUUCGAAGGUGGAAAAGCUCUUUAGUUUUAUAAUAUUUCACUCAGGACCAGCAGCAUCCCAGGACCAGUACAAUCAGGGUAUGGAGGCAGCCAAAAUCAAAAUAAUGGGGAAUAGCAGGCUCAUCACUCAUCCAUGCUAGCUCCCUAUUGCAUCUUUUUAUAAUUAAAUUUGCUAAUCAGUUACUAGGACUGGAUCGUUGCCAGAAAGUGACGCAUUUUCUAAGCCAAGUAGUGAAUUCAUAAGAGUUUCCAGAGAAUGUUUGGGGAAUGUUUGGGGAUUUUUAUAUAAAUUCGACCAGGGACUUACCCAGGGUCUAUGAAGAAGGUUUCCCUUAUCUAGCUGCUGCGGACUGGCUCUUGUGUUCCCGGAAAUAUAUUCAAAAUUUCAGGCGUACUCCACCCCUAGACAAACAAGUUAUAGUUAGAACAUGGGCAUGAGGUAUCUAUAUGUGUUAUAGUGUCCCAAAGCUCGAGGGCUUUAGCCCGAGGGAUGAGGGACACUAUAACCAUAGAUACCGAAUGCAUAUGUUCUAACUGAUUUAGAUCCCAAAACCUAUUGGCUACUAGAAAUGCACUAGCUUAGCAACAGUCAACCUAUAUAAACAGCCAACCUAGCAACUGCAUCAUUAUUCUUUUGAAAACUAAUAUCUGAAGUUGGCAUCUCUGUGUCUCUACUAAGUCUGUGGUCUCUAUUCAAGUCAACCCUGUUCCUCCACCUCAGUUUGAUGGACAAAAUUAUAGUCCUAGCUCCACCCACAAAACGGACACAUCCAGCUCCUCCCCCAGUUUUGCAGCAAACAAGCCCAGCACACUUCCCAAGAAACGAGCGGCUCGUACUACUCUCACAAAGCGAAAGGAAGACACCUAAGCUAUAAUUUGCAGCAAACAAGCCCAGCAAACGAGCGGCUCCUAUACUACUCUUGAAAAAAGUGAAAGGAACUUUAGGAAGAAGCCAAAGCUAGAAUCCCAGCACUUCCAUACAUCCAGCUCCUCCCCCAUGCAGCCUUGCAGCAAAAAAGCACAGCACACUGCCCAAAAAACGAGCGUCUCCUACUACUCUCGAACAAAGCCAAAAAAAAGAAACUAGAGCUUCUCUCUUUCAUUCUAGUUCUGUUAUUAUAAUUAUUACUAGACAAAGCAUCUAGCUACAAUAAUUUUUAUGUUAUUACAUGUGCAUCUUCUUGUAAAUCACAAUACAAUGUACAAUGUUGUAGUUUGUAGCCCAGAGCAAUCUAUAGUACCGGUACUAUAGCUCAUAGUUCCCUGCUAAAUACACUCAAAUGGGAUCUAAAUAAUAGUUAGACACUGUUUAGGAAGUUUCUACAUGAUUUAGAAGCCCGAAGGGCUGGUUGUAGUAUCCCGAACGCAGUGAGGGUUCUACUAGCCCUGAGGACUUCUAAAUCAUGUGGAAACUUCCUAAACAGUGUCUAAGCAUUUUAGAUCAUAGCAACCAUGAGUAUUUAGCCAAUCAGAUUUGAAUGUUCUUAUCUAAUCUUUGCUACAUGAUUUUCUAAGUGAAGUACAUGAUUUUCUAUUGAAGUACAUGAUUUUCUAUUGAAGUACAUGAUUUUCUAAAUUGGAUAGAACAUUUCCUCUAACCAAUCAGAUUGCAGUAUUUAUGACAAACAUGAUCUAAUGAUUGUAUAGACUUUAUUUGGUCGUUGAAAAAGAUUGUGUUAUCAAACCAGCUAGCAGCAAUAAAUUAUAAAUAAGAGUACAAAUGUAUAAGCAUAAUUAUGAGUACAUAAUUUCUAAUGAGUGAAUUAUUAUAAGAGUCGAUUAGGCCAUGCAAAGUCAAUUUGUAGUUUCUCAGGCCCUCGCGCUUGGAAAUUUUACUAUUUAUAUAUCACGUGACCUCAAAUUAAAGGCACUAAAAGAAAAGAAAAGGAUGAAUUUGUAUGGUUUUUUGGUCAUGAAUAUAAUUAUGACUAAAAUUAAUUAGUAACAAUUUUAUGCACUUCCGCUUAUUGAGAAAGUUAGGGGUGUGUUUUUCAAUUAAAUUCUAUGAAUAUCAUUAUUAUUAAUAAAAUGCCUCAUUGAAUCCGCUUGCUAUUUUAGGAAUAAUAGCCUGAGAAACUACAAAUUGACUUUGCAUGGCCUUAUACUAUACUGUGGGAACGUACCAAGUCCUUGUAGUCGCAUUCUCUUACUUGGUGAGUGUACACUGUUUUAUAGUACUUGACAUCCACUUUCCCCCAAAAUAAUUUCCUCCUUGUUUAUCUGCUUCUCUUUUCUAGCUCUGUAGCUAGCUAGCUGUCCACUUGCACUGUGCAUGUGUGCAGACCCCAGGGUCAAAAUAACACCUGUGCCACAGGUGUUAUAUAAAAAAUCCGAAUUGAAGCCGUAGACAUAAACACAGCACACAACUUGAAUAAUUAUUUUUUUGUAACUUCACAGGCUGUGGGAAGUGAGUAAAGAUCAUUAAUUAAACUAUGAUUAAACAACCUCAAUUUACGGAAACAAAAUUAAUUUCUGAGUGGAUUUUGGAUCUCUGUUGUGUCUAAAUCUUGCCAGUUGUUACAUCAACAUCAUUAUAACUGAAUGGAUAACGUAGCAGGCUUAGUACAGCAGUGGCUAUAUUUCUACUGUUGCUAACGUAAUAACGAAGAUAUCACUAGAGGACAGGAGUCUGGAGAACAGAGAUACACAACGGUACUUGAUUUAUGUGGAAAUAUGUAUUAUCUAGCAAUGGACAGAUUUUAAUUAUGACUCUGAUAUAACUAUGGCUCAAAAUGCAAAUAAAUAUUACACAAACAAAUACAUGUAACAAAAAAAUUUAUGUUCAGGUUGGUAGUUAGAUCUUGAGGUGCAUCUAUGGUUUGAGUACGUGCAUGAAGAGUAUAACACACAGACUCUUUGCAAAUGAUAUGGUAUCACUAAUUGAUCCUAUGAAUAAUGCCAAGGGCGUAUAAAAGAAGAGAGUACACGUAGCUAUAGCAGAAUUCAAAUGUGGGCAAAGGAUGUGUGAAUGUGCAUGAAAUUUCAAUUUUUAGCAUAUUCACACAUUCCUCUGCCCACAUUUAAAUUCUGCUAUAGCUACGUAUAGUGUCACAAAAACGAAACCAACAACGACACUACUACUCUUGGAAAGAGAAAGCAGAGUUCUAGAGAGACUGAUUCUAACCAAUAACUGAUGUAAUUGCUACUUUUAUAGCUAUGCACACGCAUCCAUAAUUAUAUCCAAAUCUCAUUCUCUACACUCUAGCUCUAUCCUUCUUUCUCCUAAAAUCUCCUAAAAUUGUACAAGGGCGUAUAAAAGAAGAGAGGGCAUAUGCAACAGCAAAAGAGCGGAGUUCAAACGUGGGCGGAUAAAUGUGCAUGAAAAGCUAAAAUAGAAGUUUCUAUUUUAGCACUUCACACAUCCUCCGCCCACGUUUGAAUUCUGCUACCUACGUGAGUUGCAUGCCUUUAUACGCCCUUGAUUGUACUAAAUACAACUCUGCGCGAGACUAUAAUCAUGCGUGUGCGUAUACCUAGUAAUUCUUGUGCAAUCAUCUUAGCAGCCAUUGCAGCCAUUGCAGCCACACAUUUUUUAAUGCCACAUUGCCAAUUGAAAGAAUCACUCCUGGUUCAGUUUUUGAGAAGGUGGGUAUAAUUAUUGACUAUGCUGGCCCAGUAUCUGGCCACAUGAGCACGUAUGCUCUAAGGAACACUCUCCUCAAUGGACUCUUUGCAGUCACUCUGUUUGCUUCUCAUGAUCGUAGCCGCUUGGGAACCCAGACCAACAAAGGAGAUUUGACAGACCUACACUACUUCGAUGGUUUGGCUAACCAGGACGAGGUGAUACGACUGACUAUAGACAAUGCAGAGGGGAGAGGGAAGUUGGUGGAGGAUGCAGUGCAUGCACUCUUCUCAGUUUUGUUCUACCGUAGGUGGAGAAGAAAUACUGCAUGUGAGCUGCAUGGAACGGAUCUGAACCAAUUGUUUGAUUGUAUGGCAACGGUGAACUGUAAUGAAAACUUAAUGGCGGUGGACGGAUCGAGGACACUUUCAUUAGGAGUAUCUGAGUGGCUUUGGUUGCUUCGAUCAAGUUGGAGGACGUGUUAUAUAGUGAUUGUAUUACAGGACACUCCAGCUCAAUUCUCACAAAUUCUAAAACUUAUGCAGAGGGAAUUUUUCAAGUGUUCUGGUCAUAAGCCGACAAUUCGUGACAUUUGGAUCAUUACAUAAUAAUUAUAUGCGUACAGAAGAGCAAUCAAGCAUUCACACCCCAAGCAUAUAAAAAAAUUAUAGUCUCCACCAACUCAGUGCCACCAACUCAGUGGACCUGGCCUGCCACGAUCUGCUUUCAUUUCUAGUCUAG
This is a long non-coding RNA of Halichondria panicea, 4977 nucleotides long. RefSeq lists it as uncharacterized. Lineage: Eukaryota; Metazoa; Porifera; Demospongiae; Suberitida; Halichondriidae. The record is from RefSeq and is a predicted model, not a curated record. The transcript is spliced from 4 exons.